UUGAACCUUGCAUCUAUUCUCUCCACGUUUUAAUGUUUUUGAUCGGUGAAUAUUGAACCUAGAUACCUUGUAUACUAAUUGCCUGAUGUAGUUAAACCUAGAUCUUUUUCUAUGAAAGCUUUGACAUCUCUGUUUUCAUCUAUGUCUUAAUUAUGGUUUGAGCUACUAGGAUUCAUGAUACGGGGCAACUAGUCUUGGAUUUUACGGCAGAGUUGGACCGGGGUUAACUUUUAUAUUUUAAUUAUUAUUUUGGAUAUUUUGGGUAUUUUUAUUAUUUUGCAUAUUAGAGUUUUAUUUCUAUUGUAAAUAGCCUCCCAUGACUAUUAGGAUUUUAGACUCCUAUUAGGAUUAGGAUUAUUUUGCAUAUUAGAGUUUUAUUUCUAUUUAGCCUCCCUUGGCUAUUAGGAUUUUAGACUCCUAUUAGGAUUAUGAUUAUUUUAUUUCUAUUAUAAAUAGCCUCCUUUGGCUAUUAGAAAGGCACUUUUCACUUUUCAAUCUUUGAGAAAUUUCAAUAAGACUUUUAGUCUUUCAGCUUAUAUUUUCUCCUAUUUCGUCUUAACCAAACGAUAUUGGUUAAAACUCCUGACGAAGUCUAAAUAGUCCUACAUCAGAUUGGUAUCAGAGCGAAGUUCGACCAUGGCAGAUAACCAAGAGGCGCGACUUGCUGCGAUUGAGGCAUCCUUGGCAGAAUUGAGGGAGAUGAUCGGACAACUGACCCUGCAGCAGGGAAUCCACCAACCCGCCGCCGCCGCACAUCCCCAUGUAGCCGCCAAUCCUGUGGCCGCCAUUCCUGUGGCCGCCAAUCCUGUGGUCGUCAAUCCUAUGCCUGCAAAUCCCCAACAGAACUAUCAGGAAGGUUACAGGAUCAAGGUAGACCUUCAAAACUUUUCUGGUUCAUUAGAUGUUGAAUCUGUUCUUGAUUGGCUGGCAGAGGUUGAACGCUUCUUUGAAAUUAUGAACGUGGAAGAGGAACGCAAGGUUCCAAUUGUGGCCUAUAAGUUGAAAGGGGGUGCAGCAGCCUGGUGGAAUUCGAUUCAAAACGAACGCUAUCGGAAGAGGCUGGAGCCCAUACGAAACUGGGUGCUGAUGAAGCAGAUGUUUGAACAACGGUUCUUGCCUAGCGAUCACGCUCAGGUUUUAUAUAACCGGUAUCAUGACUGUGUACAAGGGAACCGAAGGGUGGAUGAGUAUACCGAGGAGUUUCUAAGGCUGCAGGCGAGAUGUGAAAACUGUGAGAACGAGGCCCAACAGGUUGCUCAUUAUCAGAGGGGGCUGAAUCACGAAAUUCGUUGUAUGAUGGGAGUAGCUGCGAUUUUCACCCUGGCAGACGCUAUUGAGAUGGCAAAAAGGGCAGAAGAGCGUGUUGAUUGGCAGCCACGACAGCAGCAGUACAACCGGAAUUUCAAUUACAGAAACUCUAGUUCAACAGGGACGCAGCAAUAUAGAGGCAACUACAGCGGGCAGCCUUCUAAGGUUGUAAAUUCUGGCAACCCUCCGAAUACCAUGGAAGAAAGGAGAGACAGUAAGGGCAAGGCAGUCACCACUACAACAGACAAAGGAGGCAGGACCAAUCCUUACCAGAAGCCAACGGGAGACAUCUGUUACCGGUGCAGGCAAUCUGGUCAUCGAUCAAAUAAUUGUCCAGAACGUAGAGGAGUUAAUGCUGACCGCCGGCAGGUUAAUAUAGUUGAGCAGGUGGCUGAAACUGACGAGGAAGUGGAUGACGAUGACGGAUCUAUUGCUGGUUCUGAAGAUGGAGAGGUCACCUAUGUGGUGAAGAAGAUCUUAUGCUCAACAAAACAGGAGGACGAGACACAAAGGAGGAAGAUUUUCCAGGCAAAGUGUCGAGUAGGAGAGGCAAUUUGCAGGCUAAUUAUAGAUAGCUGCAGUUGUGAGAAUCUGAUAGCUAAGCAAUUGGUAGAAAAAUUACAGUUGCCUACACAGCCUCACCCCUCACCUUACAAAGUCGGAUGGAUCAAGGAAGGACCGACAAUUGAGGUCAACAGAAUCUGCAGCGUGCCUAUCUCGAUCGGUAAAUCUUAUACUGAACUUGUUAAUUGUGAUGUUGUGGAUAUGGAUUGCUGUGGAAUUUUGCUAGGUCGACCUUGGCAAUUCGACGUUGAUGCUUUGCAUAAAGGGAAGGAGAAUUCAUACAUGUUCAUGUGGAAUCAAAAGAAGAUUACUAUCUUGCCUUCCGGUUCUGCGAAACAUUCUAAGGUGGAAGGGAAGCAUACUGUUGCUGUUUCUACGGAAGUGCAGAAGCUAUCAGGCGCAGUUGAGAAAUCUGAAGGCACACUAGCCUUAUUGAUGAGAGCAAAAGGUACAAUGGAGGAUGCACCAUCUUUACCACCGCCCGUCAAAGAGUUGUUAAAGGAGUUUCCUAAGAUAGUGGAGGAGUCAUCAAAGCAUCCACCCCUGCGGGAUAUCCAACAUCAGAUUGAUCUCAUUCCUGGAUCAAAAUUACCGAAUUUGCCUCAUUACAAGAUGAGUCCAAAGGAGAGUGAAAACCUCCAAGGCCAGGUGGAAUUUGCUUACAACAGUAUUGCAGCAAGCAAAUUGGCAAAGCAGCACGUGGAUGUUUUCAAACAGGAGCGUGGUGGAGGACAGAAAAAGCUUGACGCCAAGAAGAUUGGUCCAUUCCGGAUCAUUCAGAAGAUCAAUGACAAUGCCUAUGCUCUUGACCUCCCACAUGAAAUGAAAAUUUCGAAGACAUUUAAUGUGGCAGAUCUAUUUCAGUACUACCCUACUGAUGACAACUCGAGGACGAGUUAUUUACAAGUGGAAGGAAAUGAUACGGGGCAACUAGUCUUGGAUUUUACGGCAGAGUUGGACCGGGGUUAACUUUUAUAUUUUAAUUAUUAUUUUGGAUAUUUUGGGUAUUUUUAUUAUUUUGCAUAUUAGAGUUUUAUUUCUAUUGUAAAUAGCCUUCCUUGACUAUUAGGAUUUUAGACUCCUAUUAGGAUUAGGAUUAUUUUGCAUAUUAGAGUUUUAUUUCUAUUUAGCCUCCCUUGGCUAUUAGGAUUUUAGACUCCUAUUAGGAUUAUGAUUAUUUUAUUUCUAUUAUAAAUAGCCUCCCUUGGCUAUUAGAAAGGCACUUUUCACUUUUCAAUCUUUGAGAAAUUUCAAUAAGACUUUUAGUCUUUCAGCUUAUCUUUUCUCCUAUUUCGUCUUAACCAAACGAUAUUGGUUAAAACUCCUGACGGAGUCUAAAUAGUCCUUCUUUUCUCUUAUUUCGUCUUAACCAAACGAUAUUGGUUAAAACUCCUGACGAAGUCUAAAUAGUCCUACAUCAAUUCAUCCCCCAAAAUAAUCAAAUUCAACUCAGUUUUAAAGUCCAGUAGCUUAAGAAGCAAGUUGAGUAGAGUCCAGUUCAAGAAUAAAAGCUGAAGAACCUGG
Molecule: long non-coding RNA, 3396 nt
Filed under: Manihot esculenta (cassava)
Lineage: Eukaryota; Viridiplantae; Streptophyta; Magnoliopsida; Malpighiales; Euphorbiaceae
Description: long non-coding RNA (MESC_LNC001387)
Source: RNAcentral